UAGUAUAGCAUCUAUACGGUGAAACUGCGAAKGGCUCAUUAAAUCAGUUAUCGUUUAUUUGAUAGUACCUUACUACAUGGAUAACCGKGGUAAUUCUAGAGCUAAUACAUGCUAAAAACCUCGACUUCGGAAGGGGUGUAUUUAUUARAUAAAAAACCAAKGCCCUUCGGGGCUCCUUGGUGAUUCAUAAUAACUCAACGAAUCGCAKGGCCUUGCGCCGGCRAUGGUUCAUUCAAAUUUCUGCCCUAUCAACUUUCGAUGGUAGGAUAGKGGCCUACCAUGGUUUUAACGGGUAACGGGGAAUUAGGGUUCUAUUCCGGARAGGGAGCCUGARAAACGGCUACCACAUCCAAGGAAGGCAGCAGGCGCGCAAAUUACCCAAUCCCAACACGGGGAGGUAGKGACAAUAAAUACUGAUGUGGAGCUCUUUAGGGUUUCACAAUUGGAAUGAGUACAAUUUAAAUCCCUUAACGAGGAACAAUUGGAGGGCAAGUCUGGUGCCAGCAGCCGCGGUAAUUCCAGCUCCAAUAGCGUAUAUUAAAGUUGUUGCAGUUAAAAAGCUCGUAGUUGAACCUUGGGCCUGGCUGACCGGUCCGCCUCACCGCGAGCACUGGUUCGGCCGGGCCUUUCCUUCUGGGRAGCCGCAUGCCCUUCACUGGGUGUGUCGGGRAACCAGGACUUUUACUUUGAAAAAAUUAGAGUGUUCAAAGCAGGCCUAUGCUCGAAUACAUUAGCAUGGAAUAAUAGAAUAGGACGUGUGGUUCUAUUUUGUUGGUUUCUAGGACCGCCGUAUUD
This 795-nucleotide ribosomal RNA is filed under the name Baeomyces rufus. RNAcentral's name for it is "SSU rRNA". It matches the Rfam family "Eukaryotic small subunit ribosomal RNA", at positions 61 to 878 of the family's 1831-position model. Lineage: Eukaryota; Fungi; Ascomycota; Lecanoromycetes; Baeomycetales; Baeomycetaceae. The record is from RNAcentral.